This 1182-nucleotide ribosomal RNA is filed under the name Micrococcus sp. Wuba57. RNAcentral's name for it is "bacterial SSU rRNA". It matches the Rfam family "Bacterial small subunit ribosomal RNA", at positions 122 to 1316 of the family's 1533-position model. The record is from RNAcentral. Lineage: Bacteria; Bacillati; Actinomycetota; Actinomycetes; Micrococcales; Micrococcaceae.
UAACCUGCCCUUAACUCUGGGAUAAGCCUGGGAAACUGGGUCUAAUACCGGAUAGGAGCGUCCACCGCAUGGUGGGUGUUGGAAAGAUUUAUCGGUUUUGGAUGGACUCGCGGCCUAUCAGCUUGUUGGUGAGGUAAUGGCUCACCAAGGCGACGACGGGUAGCCGGCCUGAGAGGGUGACCGGCCACACUGGGACUGAGACACGGCCCAGACUCCUACGGGAGGCAGCAGUGGGGAAUAUUGCACAAUGGGCGAAAGCCUGAUGCAGCGACGCCGCGUGAGGGAUGACGGCCUUCGGGUUGUAAACCUCUUUCAGUAGGGAAGAAGCGAAAGUGACGGUACCUGCAGAAGAAGCACCGGCUAACUACGUGCCAGCAGCCGCGGUAAUACGUAGGGUGCGAGCGUUAUCCGGAAUUAUUGGGCGUAAAGAGCUCGUAGGCGGUUUGUCGCGUCUGUCGUGAAAGUCCGGGGCUUAACCCCGGAUCUGCGGUGGGUACGGGCAGACUAGAGUGCAGUAGGGGAGACUGGAAUUCCUGGUGUAGCGGUGGAAUGCGCAGAUAUCAGGAGGAACACCGAUGGCGAAGGCAGGUCUCUGGGCUGUAACUGACGCUGAGGAGCGAAAGCAUGGGGAGCGAACAGGAUUAGAUACCCUGGUAGUCCAUGCCGUAAACGUUGGGCACUAGGUGUGGGGACCAUUCCACGGUUUCCGCGCCGCAGCUAACGCAUUAAGUGCCCCGCCUGGGGAGUACGGCCGCAAGGCUAAAACUCAAAGGAAUUGACGGGGGCCCGCACAAGCGGCGGAGCAUGCGGAUUAAUUCGAUGCAACGCGAAGAACCUUACCAAGGCUUGACAUGUUCUCGAUCGCCGUAGAGAUACGGUUUCCCCUUUGGGGCGGGUUCACAGGUGGUGCAUGGUUGUCGUCAGCUCGUGUCGUGAGAUGUUGGGUUAAGUCCCGCAACGAGCGCAACCCUCGUUCCAUGUUGCCAGCACGUAAUGGUGGGGACUCAUGGGAGACUGCCGGGGUCAACUCGGAGGAAGGUGAGGACGACGUCAAAUCAUCAUGCCCCUUAUGUCUUGGGCUUCACGCAUGCUACAAUGGCCGGUACAAUGGGUUGCGAUACUGUGAGGUGGAGCUAAUCCCAAAAAGCCGGUCUCAGUUCGGAUUGGGGUCUGCAACUCGAC